Molecule: ribosomal RNA, 687 nt
Filed under: Triticum aestivum (bread wheat)
Lineage: Eukaryota; Viridiplantae; Streptophyta; Magnoliopsida; Poales; Poaceae
Description: partial small subunit ribosomal RNA
Source: RNAcentral
AUGCAUACACACAACGAAAUAAAGGCAGUAUACAUAUUGCAGCCAGAGCAUUCGCAUCUCUCAUCCAAUAUUACAGCAAACCAGCAGGAGUACAUCAGGAAAUCAAGAAACAUGGCACCAUGUCCUCACCCGACAACAGUCCACCAGUCCCCAGAUCGGCGGAUCGAUCGAUGGAUCAGCGAAGCUCGUGGAUCACUUGUUGUUCAUGAGCACCUUGACGAGCUCCUUGCACUGGACGCGGCCCUCGCCGCGGGGGUCGGCCUUGCGGAGCAGCUCGUCGGCCUCCUCCUCCGUGAGCCGGUCGCCGUGGGUGAGCAUCACCUGCCGCAGCUGCUCCGCGGGGAUGACCCCGCUCCCGUCGUCGUCGAACGCGUCCAGGCACUGGGCCAGGCCCUUGGCCGACACGCCGGCGUUGGCCUUGCGCGCCGCCACGGCCAGGAACGUGGGGAGGUCGACGGCGCCGGCGCCGCCCGCGCCCGCGUCCUCGAGGAAGCCCCGCGCCUCGGCCUCGUCCACGUUCUGGCCCAGCGAGCGCAGCGCCGUGACCAGCUCGCCGGCGGCGAUGCGGCCGUCCUCGUCGCCGUCGAACAGGUCGAACACCUCCUUGCACUCGUCCGCCUGCGCCUGGGUCAGCUUGGCCGCCAUGGCGGGGAGAGACCAGAGAGAGCUGAACUGCUGAAGGGAUAG